Molecule: ribosomal RNA, 1023 nt
Filed under: Triticum aestivum (bread wheat)
Lineage: Eukaryota; Viridiplantae; Streptophyta; Magnoliopsida; Poales; Poaceae
Description: partial small subunit ribosomal RNA
Source: RNAcentral
AUGCAGGCGGGAGCAGAGAGGCAGGAAGGAGAUGGAUCGGGGAGCUACCAGGCGGCAACCUUGGGGGUUGAAACUUCGGCGGCGGCGCCGGAGGGCUUGCAGGAGGGUGAUCUGGAGGUUGAUGAUGAGGAGGACUGGGCUCACCGCGGAUCGGGGCCAACCCUGGAAGAUGCUUUUGAUGGUAUGAAUUUGCAUGAAGAAGAGGAAGAAGACCUAGAUUUAUCAGGGGAGGUUGAGGAUCUGAUCAGGGAGGUUCGGUGGCUCGCGCUUUUUAGGGUUCAUACCAUGAGGCCCUUUAGCCAUGCGUCUCUCUUGAAUUCUAUGAGGAACGCAUGGGCUUGUGCGCAAGGCGUAACUUUCAACAUUAAGGGGCCAAACCUAUUUUUGGCUCAGGUUCAUUGACUGGGUGACUGGAAGCGUGUGAUGGACGGGGGGCCGUGGCAAUUCAGAAGAGAUCUGGUGAUCCUGGUGGAGUAUGAUGGAUUUACAAAUGUGGACGAGUAUGCCCUAGACAUGUAUCCAUUAUGGGCGAGAGUUAAAGGGUUACCGGAUGGUUUAACGAGGAAGAAGGAGUUAGCAGAGAAGGUGGCGAAGAAAGUAGGCAAUCCACCGUUCACGGUUAUCGUUAAUGAGGGUAGGAUAAAUCCCUCGAAUCAUCUACGAGUCAAAGUGUUUGUUAAUGUCAAUCAGCCUCUGGUUAGGUUUGUCCCAAUCACGCUCAAAGAGAGGAAGAAGUACCCGGUCAGCUAUGAAAAACUGCCGGACUUCUGCUUCUAUUGCGGCUGUAUGGGCCAUGUGCUUGAGGAGUGCGGGGAUGGUACUCAUGAUUUGGCCUCCUGUGAGUGGGGUGAUUGGCUACAUUGGGCAAAUGAACCGGCUGGAGGUGGUGCUAGAGGUGGAAGGGGAGGUGGUGGUGGAAGAAUAGGCGUUGGGAGAGGGGGGGUCCCUUUAAUGGCCCUCCCAGAGGGGGAAGAAGUGGAGAUGGAGGUAGAGGGGUCAGAGGGGGAGAAGCAGGAGUUGUAG